This 449-nucleotide ribosomal RNA is filed under the name uncultured bacterium. RNAcentral's name for it is "bacterial SSU rRNA". It matches the Rfam family "Bacterial small subunit ribosomal RNA", at positions 329 to 795 of the family's 1533-position model. The record is from RNAcentral.
ACCCAGACUCCUACGGGAGGCAGCAGUGGGGAAUAUUGCACAAUGGGGGAAACCCUGAUGCAGCAACGCCGCGUGAGUGAAGAAGUCAUUCGUGAUGUAAAGCUCUAUCAGCAGGGAAGAAAAUGACGGUACCCGACGAAGAAGCACCGGCUAAAUACGUGCCAGCAGCCGCGGUAAUACGUAUGGUGCGAGCGUUGUCCGGAUUUACUGGGCGUGAAGGGGGCGCAGGCGGCGCGCCAAGCCCGAUGUGAAAGCCCGGGGCUCAGCCCCGGGACUGCAUUGGGAACUGGCGUGCUGGAGUGCCGGAGGGGCAGGCGGAAUUCCUGGUGUAGCGGUGAAAUGCGUAGAUAUCAGGAGGAACACCGGUGGCGAAGGCGGCCUGCUGGACGGAUACUGACGCUGAGGCCCGAAAGCGUGGGGAGCGAACAGGAUUAGAUACCCGAGUACUC